Molecule: long non-coding RNA, 4921 nt
Filed under: Sus scrofa (pig)
Lineage: Eukaryota; Metazoa; Chordata; Mammalia; Artiodactyla; Suidae
Description: lncRNA (ENSSSCG00035016436.1)
Source: RNAcentral
AACAUAGGAAUUCAACCCACAACAGAGCAUUUUCACAGCCUCCAGCAGGGAGAGAGGAACAUGUAAGGGGCAGCUGCAAGUGAGGGGCGAGGAGGGAAGGUGGGAGAUGGGGAAGGAGGUGGCAGAGGAGGGGCAGCCAGGGUGGCAAGAAGGAGUAGAGGCAGGAGCAUCAGAGAAAGCCUGCCUCCAUGUAUACAUUCAUUCAUUCAUUUCUGAGACCCUGUUGUUGUUCUCAGGGAUCUUCUAAUUUAGCUCAUGUAUGUGGCUGUUUAAAUUAAUUGACGUUACAUACAAUUAAAAUUUCACGUCUUCAGUCUCACUAGCUACAUUUCAAGGGUGUUUUGCUACCAUUUGGAACAUCACCGAUACAGAAUGUUUCCAGUCCAGAGAGUCGCACAUGGGAAAUGUGGUGGAAGAAGAAAGAAUAACAACAGGAGGAAAGAUGGAGAGGGAUUGAAAGGAGGUAGAAGGGCCACAGCUAGCCUUGAACUCCAGCGGCAUUCAAGUGAGCCUGUGGCGUUUAGAGAUGAGUGAGGAGACCUAUGUGACCUGGGACAGUUGAGUUGGGAGGUUCCUGGCGAAACAGCUGGGUGACAGGUGACCAUGGAAUAGAGCUUUAUCUCACAGCCCACUUUUUUUUUUUUCUUUUUGGUCUCACCCUGGCAUUUAGAAGUUCCCAGGCAAGGGACUGCAUCCUUGCCACAGCAGUGACAGCACCGGAUCCUUAUCCCGCUGAAGUAACUGAGCAGGACCGUGGGAGUCCUUCCCAGAGUGGACCCCCCCCACUCAUGUCCUCCACCUGCCUUUUUAUCUAUAGAAAACUUUAGUCAAAGAAUCAAUUUAAUCAGAGAAGUGAGGAAAAAAAAUACAGAGAGAAAAGAAGACAGUCAAGCAAGAUAGAAUAAUAAUAGUUUGGCCAUUCAACGGAGUCAAGGACCUUUAGUUAGGUCUUUUUCAAGGACUACCGGUAAUAUUCCAAGCCAUGUCCUUGAAGGUGUUUUGUAGGCACUAAAGCCCCCUCUGCGUGGAAGAAGCAAACUGUGUGCUGCCUACAAGCAUGUAGACCCCGGGUGGUUUGGAAUCAGAAGCUUGAUGAUGCUGACUUCCAAUGACCUCACCACUCACCAAUCAGGAAAAUGUCCAGGGGCUGACCACGCCCCACUCCUCAAACACUCUAAUGCGCCUCACUACCCCCUCCAAGAGAGGGGGCUCAGUCCUUCAGGCACUAGCCUGCUGUGAUCUCCUCUUUGUCUGACAAUUAAAGCUACUUUUUCUGUUUCCUCCAACCUUGACUCUGAGUUUCUGUUCGGCUGCAGUGUACAGAGGCAGCCAAGAUUUUGGCAACCGGAGCCACCAGGGAACUCACAGCCCACUUCCGAGAAGCAUUUACUCAUCAUGAGGGGUGGUGUUCUGGAAAGGUCCCCCCCAAAUCUCCAAUUUGGUAAUAACUGGCUCAAAGCAGAGCAGAGCAGGGUAGAAGGGCACUGGGAGGCCUUCUUCGAGACCUGGCAAGCUCCUGUCUAGAGCCCCCGGUGAGGCUGGAGGAGGCCAUGUGGCCCCAAGGCCCCUUCCUCAUGCUCCUGCAAAUGCUUCCAAAUUGGCCAAGAUGAGAAGACAGGAAGAGAAGUCAAGGCAACCUAGUUAAAGACGUUUGAUUAAUAAUAAGGCGUCUUUCAGUAAUAACACGGAUAACACGCUUUUAAGGACUGAAUACAAGCUAUUUUAUGCAUAUCCUGGUGGGAAACAGCACAGCCGAAGAAACCUUGGGGAUUACUGGGGCUCAGAAGCAGAAUGUGACGGCCAGCGCCGCACGGGUAUUGACAGAGGGAGCGCACGUGUGGCUGGGAGGGACAGGGGGCGACACGGGAUCACCAGGGAGCCAUCCCCACAGGCCUGAGCAGACACAGCGGAGGUCAGGGCUCGGUGACAGGCCUUUGCGCCGUGCUUUGCUCUCUGAAUUUUAAGAGCAAUAAAGUAAAACUGCAGUACAUCAAAAGCAGAAAUGAGCAAAGGUUACAGAGGAGUUGGAAGCUGUUUAACUUGUAAAAGAGAAGCUAAGAAGCGCAACAUACAGCCUUACUCUCAGUAGCCUGAGAAGCUAUGACAAGGAGACAGCUCUUUCUGGAAGGGGUUGAGGUGAGCUUGAUUCCUGCAUAAAGAGGCCUGUGUGGGAAGGACUCUGACGACUGCUGACGUUUUCAUUAAUAAUUGUUUCCUGGGGAACGUGGGUACUUCAGCUUAGAGCGGGGGCCUGGAAUGGUCAGCACCCGGUGUGGCAAUAAAUAUUUGAGUCCACUGGUGACCAGAUGUGCUCUUAAGACGCUCUGCAUUUCGAGCACCAACACCUUCCUCUCGCCCUCCAUCGCCUCCCACCUGCGUUGGCAGAAUGACUGCCGUCUGCGACCCGUGUGUCUUUCCGCGCGGAGGAAGCUCGGUCCGCAAGGCCUCUCUGAGUCCUUGACUCCUUGGGCCACAGCACCGGCUGUUCAGCAGUUCGUGUAGCCCGGCAUUGCCUUCUUCCCCUUGGGAGCCGGUGCUCUCUGCUGAUGCUCCAAGGGUCGCGGACUCAUCCCCUCCACGGUAGCGGGGCGCCGACCCAUGGUGGGAAGGGGUGUCACUAUCAGGAAGGCCCUGGGCCCUUAUACCUGGCUGACCUUAUCAACACCAAGGAUGAGAGCCUCCAACUGCUGCUCCACUCGUUAUUCUCAAAUGAUUCAGAACUCAGGCAAGAAAGAGGAUUGAUUAGCUAGUGGGGGGUGGGGUGAAGGUAGGGGUGGCUUCAAGACCCCUCUGCAGUCUGGCUGCAACAGUAAGCCAAGGAUCUCCCCACGUUCGCUCCCCUGGAUUCCAUUCUCACUGCCCCUGGGAGCUCUGCAAAUUACAAAUCCGAUGUGUUGCUUCUGGCCUAAAAUCCUGCACUGGUUUCCCAUCGCAACGGGAAUAAAACUAAACUCCUUUCCGGAGCCCAGGAUCUGGCCUCCUGCUCUCUUGCUCUGAGUCCCAGGCGCUGCGGGGGAGGCUGCUGCAGAAAGGGCCAGCUGGAUUGGGCCUUAGGGACUUGACAGUGGCCUUCCCACCGUCUAGAAAGUUCUUUGCCCUCUUGCAUUCCUCUGUAACCUCCCAUGAGAGUCUUCUUUCAGCCCCACCCCCACGUCUGCUCCAAACUAGUCUCCGCCCCCGCUCUUCCUGGGGAUCCUUUUGUUCUCUCCGUGGCACUAAUGACGUUACCAUGUGUACUUGAUAGCUCUCGUUUACCGACUGUCUCCAUCGCCAAGAGAGACAGGAUUCUCUUGAGAGCAGGGAGCUAGUCCCUCUCCAUUUGCUUUGCAUCCUCAGGACCUGGCAGAGCAGUCGCUCAAUGAAUAUGAGCGAUGAGGGCAGGAGAGAAGGAGAAAAAGCGCGAUGCACAGGACAAACCCUGUACCAGGAACCGAGUGAAGUGGGGUUUCAGACCCUGCUCCCCGCUAAUAACUGAGUGCUGGUCACUUACCUCUAAUUUUUACCUUCCUUCAUCUCUAAAGCAAGGGGGGCUUCACUCUCUGCGUUGGGAUACUCUUGAAAAGGCCAGACAUCCUUUUGAAGAGUCUCUUGCUUAGGAAAUAUGUGUUUUCCCGGCCCCGGGCUGCUAAUAUCUUUCCCCCUGCCUGUUCCUUUCCAGUAUUUAAUGCGGCAGCUGAAUUAUUUAACUGUGUGAGUGUUUCGGGACCGAAUUUGAAGGGCAAAUAAGAUAACAAAUGAAGCAGCGCUGUAGCAUCAUUCUUCCUGCUGCCGGGGAUUCUGGAGUGGUGUUUUUUUUUGUUUUUUUUUUUUUUUUUUUUUUUUUCUUGGGCAUCUUGACUUUCGCAACAGAAAGAGUAAAACAAAUCACGUAGACAAAUCACACCCCCAGCCCUGCGCGAGCCGCUGCGGCCGAAAGGGAGCGAUUUUAAAUGAGAACAUUACAGUCGCAGCUAAUGGAGCAGGAGCGAGAAAACACUUGUCCUGGGCCGGCAGCACCAAAUACCCCUUAUCACCCUCGACGACCGUAUUAUUUUAAUGUUAAACACAGUACAUUGCAAACUAGUAAAGUCACAUUCAGACUUGCCUCCCCUCUGGUUGUCCGGUCACAGGCACGUGCCUUAAUAAGUUUUCCUUAUUGCGAGGUUUCUCAGCCGCUCGAGUCCGCUGGGCAGCUUUAUCUCCUUGGGUACCUUCCGUGGAACCAGGCAAUAAAGUCUCCUUUUAAAAGUACAAUGCGUUUCCCCAACCCUAUUCUUCUGGGGCUUUUAUGACUCACAAUUGACAAAGCCCUCGCUAAUGGAAAUGCAAAUUUCCUACCUGUCAAAGACAGAGAAUGCUUUCUGAAAACACUGGCUGGCGGGGCAGAAAGAACAUUAGCAAUCUUGCAUAUUCGGGGGAGAAGCAGCCUCCUGUGAAUUUGUGGGAUAAAAAUGUUUAUUUAAUGCUGGGACAUAAAUAAAAUAGCAGUGGUUAGAUCUCCCACACAGACCGGACAAUUCCUUGGGAAUUUCAAACUUUUUGAUCCCUUUGGUUUCAGCACCUGUUUCAUUCAGAUUCAAAUCACCCGACACCGCUUUUAUAAAGGCUUUGAUUUGGGGACCAGGAAGGUGGGGUGCCCUGGAUCUCUCCUGCUGCUUUACUGAGAAAAUUGGGCGCAAGUUUGGGUGACGCUUGGCUGCCCUGGGAUUUGUCACUUCUGAAGCAACAUCACUGCCUGGUCUCUUCCUCCUCUGUUGUUACUACUAUUUAACUCUGUGUGUGUGUGUGUGUGUGUGUGUGUGUGUGUAGAACAGUGGGUGAGAAUAUGGUCUUUGCCUGAAAUUUCAGUAGCAAGCAGGCCGAGGCAAUGGUUCCUAAAAAGCCAGGGUGACUUCCUAAAAGAGUCUGCCAGGGCUUGUCAACUGAAAAAAAAAAAAAAAAA